UUUUAAAAUAAGAAAGUCUUUUUUUCCAUCUAAAUAUUAUAUUGAAAUUUGAAGCCAAACAUUAUAACAAAGCCGACAAAGGUAAAAACCAGUCCGGAGUUUACAGCCCAAACAAGGGAGACAAAGAUGAAAUACUGCACCCAAACAAGGGAGACAAGCAAAAUCCAACAAAAUACAAACAUGACAAAACCAACGAGAUUUAACAAUACCUAGUGAACGGAAGACGAAAAGUUUGCCUUAUUAAACUUGCAGAUAAAACGCUGACUGCACCUUGAUAAAAGCAUCCUCCAAAAGACAUAUGAGAUCGAAAAAGCCACAAACAAACAGAGCCCGACUAAACCACCUCUCAAAACCGGGUAAACAACGAUGCUUUAACACCGGAUAUCAAUGGAAAAUCUGCAAAACGAGUACUCCAAACCACAAGACCCUCAAAUGAUCAACAGAACUAGACAACAUAAGCAAAAUAGCAAAGGCGACGAUGAACGCAUAAGAGUUGCUCUGCCAACAUAGGGAUACAUGCCCCUUCACCAAAUACCACAUGAGACUAGAACUUAAAAAUCAACCAAGAGAGAAACGAAAGCAUUUCUACCCAACAAUAACAUAUCUCAUAAUCUAACCCAUUAAGCCUGAACCAAACCCAAUUGAAUACCACACAAACCAACAAACCAUUGAGAAGCAAAGCCGCAAAUCGAAUGACCCACCAAUUUGACACUCCGGAGCACAAGCCAAAAGAACCACAUGUCUAACCAUGGAAGCUUUCAAAGUGAGCUGAAGCCAGCGAGCCACCCACAGUUGAAGGAGAGAAGAGGUAGAGCGAGGGAGAACACAAGAUCUAUACCAACUAAAAAUAAAAACCAAGGAAAAAUACAAACCUAAAGACUGCAAAAGUUAUUUAUCCAUCUAGAUCUGGAAUUUGAAAUACAAACCUUUAAAGAAUCAAAUCAUAUAAGACGGCAAGAUGUCAAAAGGCAAAGAAAAGAGAAGAUAUAAAAGACAAAAGGACAAAAGGCAUGAUGCCAGCCAGCAAAAGUCGCUGGCAAGCAAGACUAAUCUCGAUUUCUUCAAGAAAAAGGCAGAGGAUGUUUAAGAGAGAGAAA
This 1097-nucleotide long non-coding RNA is filed under the name Eutrema salsugineum. Its description in RNAcentral is "long non-coding RNA (ESAL_LNC000902)". The record is from RNAcentral. Lineage: Eukaryota; Viridiplantae; Streptophyta; Magnoliopsida; Brassicales; Brassicaceae.